This 253-nucleotide ribosomal RNA is filed under the name uncultured bacterium. RNAcentral's name for it is "partial 16S ribosomal RNA". It matches the Rfam family "Bacterial small subunit ribosomal RNA", at positions 524 to 776 of the family's 1533-position model. The record is from RNAcentral.
UACGGAGGGUGCGAGCGUUGUCCGGAAUCACUGGGCGUAAAGGGCGCGUAGGCGGCGCGGGAAGUCCGUGGUGAAAGCCCGAGGCUCAACUUCGGGUCGGCCAUGGAUACUCCUGGGCUCGAGCACUGUAGAGGCAGGUGGAAUUCCGGGUGUAGCGGUGGAAUGCGUAGAGAUCCGGAAGAACACCGGUGGCGAAGGCGGUCUGCUGGGCAGUUUCUGACACUGAGGCGCGACAGCGUGGGGAGCAAACAGG